GCCGCCGAGGCCGCCGCGGCGCCGCCCGAGGCGCUGGGCUGGUGCGCGCCCGGCACCUGAGCCGGAAGCCUCCCGGCGGCCGCGGCCCGCGCCCCUCCGCCGCCGGCGGUCCCGUUGGCCCCUCCGCCGCUGCUGGAGGAAGGUCAGCAAUGCUGAUGAUAAAAACUAAGAGCAGUGGAAACAAAAGAAACAAGAAGGCGGCAGAAGGCAACUUAAUCUGAAUUAGCCCUAUCCGAUCAAACACUCCAACUCCGGAGGAAGCGCACUGUUGGAGGAACUAAAGAAUAAUCCAGCCUGACCUUCAGUUGCAAGACAAGAACUGUGGUGCGGAGAAAGCUGCACCCGAUUUAGGAGACCCCAGGGUCUAGGUCUGGGACCAAAUUAAGUUACUGUAGUGAGCAAGUUAUUUUGCCUUUUUUGACUCUGUUAGUGUUUUAAACACCUUUGUACAGUUUACUUGGCACUAUAAACGUGAAUUCUGAAGUGUAUAAACUGCUUUCUUCCCCAAACGCCAACUUAUUGAGAUUAGUUUCCUUUCUGGGAUAUUUGACUAUAAAUCCCUAGGGCACUUGCAGCUUAAAAAUCCGAUAAUUUAUCUAAAAUUGAAUUUUUAAAAUUUAUUUAUUUUAUUUUAUUUUUUCUCAUCAAGAGAGGAGAGAGAGAAACAUCAAAGAUGAGAGAGAAUCAUUGAUCAGCUGCCUCCUGCAUGCCCCCUACUGGGGAUCCAGCUAGCAAGUCCCAGGCAUAUGCCCAGACUGGGAAUGGAACUGUGACCUCCUGGUUCAUAGGUCCAUGCUCCACUGCGCCACACCCACUGGGCUAGAAUGGAACUUAUUAAAAUUACCAGCCCACGCCUGUGACCUAGUAUCUUGGUAGUAGAACCUGGUCUGCAUGUCCAGUGGCCAGCCUGCUCUAACCCUCCCCUUUUGAAAAUGCCUAAAGUGUUCUCUAUGUGAAAAUAAUAGCAACUGGGUUUUUUUUUGUACAAAUUACAGAAAUACUUUGUCUUUUUUCCAUGCUUGUAAUGUCAUUUAUGUAAUGAUUUUCAUCACUUUUUGAAGUAUGAGAAUAAAGUUUUUAAACAGAAGUGAAUAAUACAAGAAUAAACUUAACGUCCUCACAACUAUAAACCUACUUUUGCCCACCCCGUAUAUACAUUGUGUAUAUGUGUGUAAAUAUAUCAGAGAUACUAGUGAAAUAUAUAUCUCUAAGUACAUAUUUAUUACAUACACAUAUGUACAUCUGUGUAUGAGCUUACUGAAACCAACAUUUACUUGUUAAGCAGAGAAAUGUUAGAAAGGCCAAAGUGGUUAGCAGCAUGACAAGUUCCAAUUCAAGAAGGUAUUUAGUGAUUUGAUUUGAUUUGAUUUACCUUUUACUAAAUGAGGCCUUGAUUGUAAAACUCUAGCCCAGCAGUAAAUUGUUACCAAUAUCCUAAGAACCUACUGCUACUAGAGAAAAUUAUAAACACCGAUUUUAAAAAAGGAGUAAAGGACUUCUGCAAGUCUUCAGGGAACUAAAAGCUGAUAAGUGAGAGUUUCACAGUCAUCUUCACACAUACAUUUAUGAAGCAAAUCCCAUUCAGUUAAAACUAAUAAAUGGAAAGAUUUAACAAUAAAACCCAAUGACUCCUAACUAUAUUCAGAUUUAUAUUAUGCUUUAUCACAUCCAAACUUGGCUGUAUGUUUUGUCACUUUUACCCAGAUGGUAAUUACACCUUAAAUGUGCUCUACAUUUAUUCCUAACUGGGAACAAAAAACCCUUAUAGUGCCAGGUUUCCUGCAUUCACACCAUUCACAACAGUUGAAAUGUUACAUUUCUUUCAUUUAUGCCCAUUCCUAACAAGACUGUAAAUGUCGUGGGGGCAUGGAAAGAGUGUGUUUUUUCAAUCACCACUGCAGUGCUUGGCACACAGUAGCCUGCAGGUAAGUAUUUAUUGAGUAAAUGAGUGGUGAGAAGACCACUUACAGGCUGAAUGUCAGAUGUAAGGGAUAAAAAUUGCAUUUGUAGUGGUCAUUCAUUCAGUGUGUUUUGUGUUAGUGCCAGGCACAGCAUAUUAGUCAGGCUACACUAAGCUACACAGAGGGAGCAAACCCCUAAACAUCAGGGCUAUGAUGCCACAGAAGCACAUUGCAAAAUGCGUUGGUACGCCCUCUCCUCUCUUGUUAAGGGCCGGUAGGAUACACUUGGUUUAAUUUACCUCAGCUGGGCUGGGGGCGGGUGGGGGGCGGCAGAGUUACUCCCUGAGGGCGGGACCAGUCAAAAGAUUGGACGCCACCCAGUUUGACUCUCCUGCCCAGUGUUAAGGGGGUGGAUCUCAUGAUGUCAAAGGCCUACCCAGAUGUGAUGUAAUUUCCUGUAACUCAAGUAUAUAAUAAAGCAGCUUUUGGAGCUGGCUCUCUCUGUGUGCUCUGUCCCUUCGGAGGGCAGGCUCUCUCUGCCUGUCCCUCUGGAGGGCAGGCACCACACCCAGCCCAAGCUUUGAAUCUA
Myotis daubentonii (Daubenton's bat) is the source of this 2490-nucleotide long non-coding RNA. RefSeq lists it as uncharacterized. Lineage: Eukaryota; Metazoa; Chordata; Mammalia; Chiroptera; Vespertilionidae. The record is from RefSeq and is a predicted model, not a curated record.